This 258-nucleotide ribosomal RNA is filed under the name Triticum aestivum (bread wheat). Its description in RNAcentral is "partial small subunit ribosomal RNA". Lineage: Eukaryota; Viridiplantae; Streptophyta; Magnoliopsida; Poales; Poaceae. The record is from RNAcentral.
AUGGUUGUCAUAAUCCGCAACCAAGUAUUCGUGAUAAGUUCAGCUAGGCAGAGUGUUAGCAUUGUGAUCCUCCUGCUGUUGGUUAUGUCUCAUGUAGCUGUGGUUUCAAGGGCUCAGAAGACGAAAUCGAAACAACGAGAAGAACCACCUUCGGAAGAAAGAACUGGAUUACUUGGUGAGGAGGCUGCGCAGCAGGAUUCUGAGAGUGCCAGCUCUAGCACCGCGCUCAUGGGAUCUGGUCAGACAAAGAGAACCUGA